RNAcentral lists this ribosomal RNA (445 nucleotides) under uncultured Thauera sp. RNAcentral describes it as "bacterial SSU rRNA". It matches the Rfam family "Bacterial small subunit ribosomal RNA", at positions 933 to 1374 of the family's 1533-position model. Lineage: Bacteria; Pseudomonadati; Pseudomonadota; Betaproteobacteria; Rhodocyclales; Zoogloeaceae. The record is from RNAcentral.
UGGAUGAUGUGGAUUAAUUCGAUGCAACGCGAAAACUUACCUACCUUGACAUGUCUGGAACCUUGCUGAGAGGCGAGGGUGCCUUCGGGAGCCAGAACACAGGUGCUGCAUGGCUGUCGUCAGCUCGUGUCGUGAGAUGUUGGGUUAAGUCCCGCAACGAGCGCAACCCUUGUCAUUAGUUGCCAUCAUUUAGUUGGGCACUCUAAUGAGACUGCCGGUGACAAACCGGAGGAAGGUGGGGAUGACGUCAAGUCCUCAUGGCCCUUAUGGGUAGGGCUUCACACGUCAUACAAUGGUCGGUACAGAGGGUUGCCAAGCCGCGAGGUGGAGCCAAUCCCUUAAAGCCGAUCGUAGUCCGGAUCGUAGUCUGCAACUCGACUGCGUGAAGUCGGAAUCGCUAGUAACCGCGAAUCAGCAGGUCCGCGGUCGAAUACGUUCCGGCCUU